This 73-nucleotide transfer RNA is filed under the name bacterium. RNAcentral's name for it is "tRNA-Thr". It matches the Rfam family "tRNA". From Rfam's summary of the family: Transfer RNA (tRNA) molecules are approximately 80 nucleotides in length. Their secondary structure includes four short double-helical elements and three loops (D, anti-codon, and T loops). The record is from RNAcentral.
GCCCACGUAGCUCAGUUGGUAGAGCAGCGGUUUCGUAAAUCGCCGGUCGCCCGUUCGAGGCGGGCCGUGGGCU